AAACCACAGAGGUUCUUUGCUGUUUCUUCUCUAAUUCUUUCAUUUGAAACACGAAGAACCCGGGGCACACAGUCUAGACAGGACCACCAGCAACACCAAGACGUCACAUUUGGGUCCCCCAGACCUCCUGGAGCAUGGUGGCACGUUGGGUAGCCUGGGAGGAGACUCCUCAACCUGGAUGUAGGAAUUUCACCGCAGUGGUGGGGGUCAGAGCAGCCGAGCACCUGGACACCUCUGUCCCAGCUUCCAGGACUGGAUGCCACGCCAGUGUGACAACAUCCUCCAGCCAAAGAAGUGGGAUAAAGAACGUCCGAAUUGGUCUCGAAAUGGUCUGUGGUACACAGAAGAAAUCCAUCUCUCAGAGGAGCUGGUGGGCUCCCAUCAUCCACCUACUCCCUCAGGCCGGUUAGACAGAUCAAGUCCUCAGCAAGCCAGAAGCCCAGGAGAGCUGCCAGCCACAGGCAACAGGAAAGAGCAGUUUGGAGCACAGAGCAUUGGUUUGCAGCAGAGCUCGGAGCCCACAAGGAAUCCUGGGAACCCGAGCUGGCAGAAAUACCCUGAGGGCAAAAGCGUGGGGUGCGAAUAAACCAAGAAUCAUCCCUACAGGCCUGUGCUUCAGUUUUCAAAUCAGCGCCCACCUCCACUCCCAGCGCCCUCCCCAUCUUUCUGACGACAAAGGCAUUUUCUGUUCAUUUAAAUAGCCGCACAACUAUCUGCCGGCUGCUGUGUGGUUUGCGACACCGUCUCCUUGGUUACGCAUUUGGGUUAUUU
This 771-nucleotide long non-coding RNA is filed under the name Rattus norvegicus (Norway rat). Its description in RNAcentral is "long non-coding RNA NONRATT007633". The record is from RNAcentral. Lineage: Eukaryota; Metazoa; Chordata; Mammalia; Rodentia; Muridae.